This 326-nucleotide unclassified non-coding RNA is filed under the name Chytridiomycota sp. Its description in RNAcentral is "partial contains small subunit ribosomal RNA, internal transcribed spacer 1, and 5.8S ribosomal RNA". The stretch from base 1 to 47 matches the Rfam family "Eukaryotic small subunit ribosomal RNA", at positions 1785 to 1831 of the family's 1831-position model. The record is from RNAcentral. Lineage: Eukaryota; Fungi; Chytridiomycota.
AAAGUCGUAACAAGGUAACCGUAGGUGAACCUGCGGUUGGAUCAUUAACAAAUCCAAUUUUGCGCUUCUCAGCGCAUCCAACAUUUUGUGCACUGUAAUUGUCUUUGGCGGGUUGUGUUUGCUUGCUUUUAAGAUGGGAGAUUUUUUCCUCAUCUUAACAAGACGUCUGCCUAAUGGCAGACCAGCCUGUCCGUCACUCCCUCAACGGGGUUUGGCAACUAUAAAAACACAAUGAAUUUUUUUUUCUAUGUCUUAAUCCUUUCUGCGAAAGCCGAAUUGUAUAUUAAAAUUAAAAACAACUUUUGACAACGGAUCUCUUGGCUCUU